This 497-nucleotide ribosomal RNA is filed under the name uncultured bacterium. RNAcentral describes it as "partial 16S ribosomal RNA". It matches the Rfam family "Bacterial small subunit ribosomal RNA", at positions 28 to 507 of the family's 1533-position model. The record is from RNAcentral.
GAUGAACGCUGGCGGCGUGCCUAAUACAUGCAAGUCGAGCGAACGGACGAGAAGCUUGCUUCUCUGAUGUUAGCGGCGGACGGGUGAGUAACACGUGGAUAACCUACCUAUAAGACUGGGAUAACUUCGGGAGACCGGAGCUAAUACCGGAUGAUAUUUUGAACCGCAUGGUUCAAAAGUGAAAGACGGUCUUGCUGUCACUUAUAGAUGGAUCCGCGCUGCAUUAGCUAGUUGGUAAGGUAACGGCUUACCAAGGCAACGAUGCAUAGCCGACCUGAGAGGGUGAUCGGCCACACUGGAACUGAGACACGGUCCAGACUCCUACGGGAGGCAGCAGUAGGGAAUCUUCCGCAAUGGGCGAAAGCCUGACGGAGCAACGCCGCGUGAGUGAUGAAGGUCUUCGGAUCGUAAAACUCUGUUAUUAGGGAAGAACAUAUGUGUAAGUAACUGUGCACAUCUUGACGGUACCUAAUCAGAAAGCCACGGCUAACUACGUG